Long non-coding RNA from Cygnus olor (mute swan), 1537 nucleotides. RefSeq lists it as uncharacterized. NCBI's taxonomy places the organism in Eukaryota, Metazoa, Chordata, Aves, Anseriformes, Anatidae. The transcript has 3 exons. The record is from RefSeq and is a predicted model, not a curated record.
AUGCAGAACCUGAUCCUGAGCCUGCUAAGUCCUUGGAAAGAACUCUGCUGUCCAUGUUGUCCCCAGCUUGGUUGGUUGUCCAUGCAUGACUAAGAGAUUCAGCAAUGAAAAACAGAUCAAAUGAUUUUCUUUUGUAGAAAUAGCCAGUUUAGAAGUCCUGUCUGCCUGAAGAACUUUCAGAAGUGUCAUGAAGCUGUCAGAGGAAUGCCAUCAUACAAUCUCAGAGAAGUCUUGGAAGAUGGAUUACCUGAAAACCUGCUCUACUUUCUGUUUUGAAUUUUUAUUGAAGUGUGACCUAGCUUUAAAUCAACAGUAUGGUAUUUCUGGAAUUAGAUGGUACCCAGGAGCACACCAGAAUCCAGCUGCAUUAUGAUUAUUUUUUUUAAAUGUCCAAAAAUAAAAUAAGUUCAUCAUUGACAAGAAAAAGCUACAUAGACCCACAUCAGAUUAAUUCAACCCACAUUUCCUUCUCCUUUCUAUUUCAGCUCAGAUACUCCAACCAUCUCCCAGAUUUUGUCCCCUUGCUUCUCAUCUUUCUACUGUAAAAAGACGGUGGGGGGGAUAUGUAGGCUUUGUUUUCCAUCCAAAGGUGAAGAACAGAUAUGGAAGGAAGCUGGAGAUAACAGGUCACCAAACUAACAUAUGUCUUUGCCCAGACAACAGUGGUGCAACAUGACUUAAUUUCCAGGAAAACAAGAAAUAAAUGUUCAUGUAAUUAAAGUCACAGAAAAGAGUUCUCACUGAUUUUCAUGAGAAACAUUUUCACCCUGAAUAUAGAACGCUUUUAACUUUCUAAAUUAGAAGAGAAACCCAAACCACCAAUGCAAAACCAUAACAACAAUAGCAUUUUUUCCAAACAGUACUUUCUUCAUUUCAGCACAACACUGAAAGGAAGCAUUACUUUGCUGUUUUAGCACAAGACUUCUUUUAAAUUAAAUACUUCUAUGAAGACUUUCUUGUGUUGUAAUAGGAGUUUUUCAAGUUACUAACACAUUUCAAAAAUAAACUAGUUGUAAUGACCACAAAAUACCACCCAGCAAUACACAUUAGAUGAGUAUUUUUUUUCUUCAUUUUUUUCUCUUCUUUUUCUCAUAUAUACCAGAUGAUAGUUUCAUGCAUGUAACUCACACUUAAAAUUUCAAGUCUGAGAACAAAAGUUUCUGUCUAAAUAUAUGAAUGCAUAAACACUUCAUUAUUUCUGCCUGCACUCAUAAUUGUUUCUGGACACUGAUGUUAAGAUGGAAGAUUCCAGUAUCUAGACCACAAGAUCAGUGAGGUCGGACUUUGCUGUUUCCCCUGCAUUAUACUCGCCGUUUGAAUUUAGAUGAAUCAUUUAAUCAUAGUGUGUCCCCAAAGUGUAAAAAAGUAAAAGAACAGGUGAUCAUGUGGAAUUAUUUUGGAAUCUUCAGGUGAAAAUUAGUAAAAGAUUAUUUUUUUUUGUUGAAAUAAUUCUUUGCAAUGAAGAUACCCUUGGAGAGUGAGUUUCUUAACUUCUAAUGCCACCCUUCUUCAAAGUUGUUGAAAUCUUUGAUACAAA